AAAGCUGAUGUUUCAUAAAAUAGAUCCAUGUGUGGCAAGAAAAAUUAUCUAUAAAUAUGAUAUAAUAUCGAUGACCCCCUUUCAAAACGAAUGGAGCCGGACCCCAUACAUCAGAAUGAACAAGAUCAAAAGGAUGUUUUGACACCGACUCACUAGAAUAAUAAGGAAGCUGUAGCUGUUUUCCUAGUCGACAACCCUGACACUGAUCCAAAGAUACAUCACCAGAAACUGACCCUAAAAGACCACGACAAACUAGCGUAGACAAACGUGAGCCACAAAGAUGUCCUGGACGAUGAUGCCACUGAGCAAACGAUGAUGUAGAUGAUGUAGAAGAAGCGACUGAGCCCACAAGAUUGGCAGAGGCAGCAGAAGGAAGACGAAGCCAGUCAAGCUCCCAAAGACGCUGAUAAUCACGUCGACGAGGGCCAGUACCAACUAGGAGACCCGUGCUGCGAUCCUAAAUACAACAAGAGUCAGAAUUAAUGAUAACACGACAACCAUGAUUAGUGAGCUGGCCAGCCGAGAUAAGCUGCAUGGUUAGUUUGGGAACAUGAGAAACAACAACAUGAAAAGAGGAAGACAAAAGAGUGCCUCGUCCUGCAACAGAGAGAGGCGAUCCAUCUGCGGUUUGAACAAUGAUGGAAGAGAUGGAGUACUAAUGGAAGAAAGACUGGUAUGAUCAGGAGUCAUAUGAAAAGAAGCACCAAAAUCUAGAAUCCAUGGAAAAGUACCUGAAGAAGAAGACUGAGAAGCAACAACAGAACCGGGCGGUGCAGAAGCCUGAGUAACAGAACCAACAGCUCCUGCGGGUGUAGAGGCAGCUAGGCGACGAAGCAACAUGAGCGUCUCCUAUGUCUCAGAACCAGCAGAACUCCGCUGAGAACCUCCAGUACCAGAAUCACUAGCACCACUAGUACCCUGUGAAGAACGACCACCUUGGUGAGACUGAGCCUUCUUCCUGUAACAAUAUGCCUCCACAUGGUUAUCCCUGCCACACUAGUCCAUUUAAGACCACCACCCCCUCUACUCUUAGAAGAAAGCACUACCGAAGAAGGCGCCAUAGGUGGAGGAGCGGAGGCCUUGGAAGAAGAACGAGCAGCCAAGACUGAAGAAGACGAAGACUGCAACAGGCCAGCACUACAAAGAUGUAUCUUCUCAUUACGAACAACAGCAAGAGCAUCCAUCAGAGAAAUACAAGGCUCACAAGAAACCAGCUGAGCACGAAGCUGCUCAAACUCAUCACGAAGACAGGUCAAAAAAUCAUGGGUGCGCCUAGUCUCCAGAGCAACCUUCUGAGCCUUACAAGACUCACAAGUGCUAGGUGAUAGUGGAGGACCAAUAGAGUCAAGCCGACGCAACACUGCAGACAUUUGAGCAAAGAACUCCUCAACUGUAGAGUCACCCUGUCGCAAUAGUUGUUCUUGACGUAGAGCAACAAUAUACGUAGACUGAUCGGCGGGCUCAUAACGCUGAUGAAGAAAAGCCCACAUCUGAUGUGCAUAAUUAAAAGCAACAAUAUCUAUAGAAAGACUCUCCUCCACACUAGCAGAACCAGCACGAGCAUCCUCAUCCAACCAAGCCUUGGGUGCAACAAACUGAGAGUGAUAUGAUGCCAGCUCAUCCUCGAAAUCAUCAAGCAGCUUCUUCUGAUUGGCCUCAGCAGCUGUAGCAGGAAUAAUUGGCCUGACAGAAGGUGUAGGAGGAGCUGCAGGACAGGGUAGAUCACCCGUAAGAAAUUCCAUAGACGCAAACCACGCAUGUGCAGACGCAGACGAGGAACCCAGUCGCGAUAGUUGGUGCCAUUGAAAAGCAUCGGACAUUGCAUAACCUGCACACCACCGGAUGGAGGAACUGAAGAAGAUGACAUCUCCAAACAACACAGUUGACGGCAAGAGCGCAAAGGAAGCGGCAAUCAACGGCAAGAGCACAAAGGGAAAGCGGCAGGAGCUUUUUUUACUGACCUGCGCUACUGGUCCUCAACAGCCAACCGUGUACUGCAGAAACAAAGCAACGCACGAACAGAAGCAACAGAGAGUACGCAGAACAACAACAAUUUUUUUUUCUUUUUUUCUUUUCUUUUCUUUUUUUAAUCAAACAGAUCUGCUACUCUAAUUCCCCUUUGUAUCAGAGAAUUGCUAUGCACGAGCACACAGCUAAGCAGAGAGAGAACAGAGAGAUGCAGACUUGACCAAACGAGAUGGGAAGAGAGCAGCCGGACGGUGGGCAAACGGAGGAACCGCAUAAUUGAUUCCAUGAUGGAUGAAUCAAGCUAGGGCAACGAGCUCCACGGCCGAUCGUGCUUCAUGGGCGAUGGGAAGCUGCUCGGACCUGCGACCCGCGGGUCGGCGGCGCGAGAGAGCCGGCAACAUGCGAACGAGGCGGAGAGCCGCACCAAUCGAUGGAGGAGCUGUGGGACAAGGUCGGCAAGGGGCACUGAUAGAAAGAAGCGACGGAUGGCGGAAGGAAUCGAUGAUGUGCUCAAAACGAAGAGCAGGGGAAAAUCGAUCCAAUGGGCUGGUGAUCAGAGGCACGCAAGUGCAACAUGCAGGGGGGGGAUCACCUAGGGCAGAUGAGAAGAAAUCUAAACCCUAGUUUGGCUCUGUACCAUAUUAG
RNAcentral lists this long non-coding RNA (2613 nucleotides) under Setaria italica (foxtail millet). Its description in RNAcentral is "long non-coding RNA (SITA_LNC004323)". Lineage: Eukaryota; Viridiplantae; Streptophyta; Magnoliopsida; Poales; Poaceae. The record is from RNAcentral.